Molecule: long non-coding RNA, 658 nt
Organism: Magnolia sinica
Lineage: Eukaryota; Viridiplantae; Streptophyta; Magnoliopsida; Magnoliales; Magnoliaceae
Exons: 2
Source: RefSeq, a predicted model, not a curated record
AGAAAUGCAGAGUCCAAGAAUUUUAUCAUAUGAGCUUUAUUCACAAUUUUAUCACAGGCAUUAUAAGAAAGUCCAAGAAUAAUGUCUUUGGGCUUCAAAUUGACGCUUCCAUUAUUCCCAUUAAGCCCAAUUCCAUCGCUGCUAUCAGCUUCCAAAGUAUUGUGAUGUCUGUUACUCAUAAUAGCUCCAGAGUUGUCACUGCUAGCAACUGAAAUCUUAUCAUACGUUAGAAUUCAAUACUGUUAACUGUCAUUGGUCUUUGUCAGAUGAUUGAUGGAAGAAAAACAUGCCAUCAUUAAAAGGCCAUGGUGUGGAUCCAAAGAGGGUAAGUUUCGCAUCGGCAUACCUUUGAGUAUGAAGGUUUCCUUUGAGAUGAUUGAGCAGCGUGGUUUCACCGUAACAGGGGGAGAGACACAACGUGCAAAAGAAGGAAAUCUUAGAAAACCCUAAUUGUGCCAAUCUGCCCUCAAUUAUGCAAAUAACAAGAAUACUUGAAACCCUUCAAAACCCACAGAAGCUCACAACGAACCCUAGAAACCGCCAUAUCAUUCAAAACAAAAACACCACAGAAAACCCAUAUUCUAUGAAUCUGCCCUAAGAAUACACAAAUUACAACAGAAAGAACCCCGGAAUCUGUUACAAAUCGAGAAAUUAAAAA